UGAAAAGUAAUGAUGAGGACAAGGGUAUUCCUUUACGGUUUCCAGAGAGGAAAGGCAUGGUGAAAACUUUCCAUCACGAAAUGAAUACUUACCACCUCUAAACUUCAGCUGUGAACGUUAAAUGUUUAACUAGUAAUAGUUGACGGGUACAUUCCGUUAAAAAUUUCCUAAGUCAUUUUUGUUUUUUUGGAAAUGAAAAAUAGGGUGGAACCACGUGUAAAUAAUACUCGUCCCUUUC
RNAcentral lists this non-coding RNA (238 nucleotides) under Heyndrickxia shackletonii. Its description in RNAcentral is "Bacillus shackletonii T-box sequence". It matches the Rfam family "T-box leader". From Rfam's summary of the family: Uncharged tRNA acts as the effector for transcription antitermination of genes in the T-box leader family. Lineage: Bacteria; Bacillati; Bacillota; Bacilli; Caryophanales; Bacillaceae. The record is from RNAcentral.